ACGGGGUGCAGCAGGCGCGAAAACUUUACACUACACGAAAGUGUGAUAAGGGAAUUCCAAGUGUGCUUAUACCAUAAGCACUUUUUUGGAGCGCAAAAAGCUCCGGGAAUAAGGGGUGGGCAAGACUAGUGCCAGCCGCCGCGGUAAAACUAGCAUCUCGAGUGGCAGUCACAAUUAUUGGGCUUAGAGCGUCCGUAGCUCGUUCGGAAAGUCUCUGGUGAAAUCCUACGGCUUAACCGUAGGGCGCGCCGGAGAAACUACCGGGCUAGGGAGCAGGAGAGGUCGGGGGCACGUCUGGGGUAGGGGUGAAAUCCUAUAAUCCUAGACGGACCAACAGUGGCGAAGGCGCCCGACAUGAAUGCGUCUGACAGUGAGGGACGAGAGCCAGGAGCGCGAAACGGAUUAGAUACCCGUGUAGUCUUGGCCGUAAACGAUGCUGACUAGGUGGGGUGCGACCUUAGAGGUCGUGCUAUGCCGAAGGGAAACCGUUAAGUCAGCCGCCUGGGGAGUACGACCGCAAGGUUGAAACUUAAAGGAAUUGGCGGGGGAGCAC
This 553-nucleotide ribosomal RNA is filed under the name uncultured archaeon. Its description in RNAcentral is "bacterial SSU rRNA". It matches the Rfam family "Archaeal small subunit ribosomal RNA", at positions 325 to 879 of the family's 1478-position model. The record is from RNAcentral.